CCUACGGGUGGCUGCAGUGGGGAAUAUUGGACAAUGGGGGGAACCCUGAUCCAGCCAUGCCGCGUGUGUGAAGAAGGCCCUCGGGUUGUAAAGCACUUUCAGUGAGGAAGAACGCCUGGUGGUUAAUACCCAUCAGGAAAGACAUCACUCACAGAAGAAGCACCGGUUAACUCCGUGCCAGCAGCCGCGGUAAUACGGAGGGUGCGAGCGUUAAUCGGAAUUACUGGGCGUAAAGCGCGCGUAGGUGGCUUGAUAAGCCGGUUGUGAAAGCCCCGGGCUCAACCUGGGAACGGCAUCCGGAACUGUCAAGCUAGAGUGCAGGAGAGGAAGGUAGAAUUCCCGGUGUAGCGGUGAAAUGCGUAGAGAUCGGGAGGAAUACCAGUGGCGAAGGCGGCCUUCUGGACUGACACUGACACUGAGGUGCGAAAGCGUGGGUAGCAAACAGGAUUAGAUACCCCUGUAGUC
Molecule: ribosomal RNA, 465 nt
Filed under: Vreelandella stevensii
Lineage: Bacteria; Pseudomonadati; Pseudomonadota; Gammaproteobacteria; Oceanospirillales; Halomonadaceae
Description: partial 16S ribosomal RNA
Rfam family: Bacterial small subunit ribosomal RNA
Source: RNAcentral